Small nucleolar RNA from Hibiscus syriacus, 107 nucleotides. NCBI's taxonomy places the organism in Eukaryota, Viridiplantae, Streptophyta, Magnoliopsida, Malvales, Malvaceae. The record is from RefSeq and is a predicted model, not a curated record.
AAACCAUGCAUAGGGUAUUUGCAUAGUAAAUCUUUAAAUAGCUCCCAAACUUCAUAUAAAUUAUCAUCCUCCAAUUUCUUGAAAGAUGUGAUGUCGUUCCUCAAUCU